This 69-nucleotide transfer RNA is filed under the name Marmota monax (woodchuck). RNAcentral's name for it is "tRNA.Gly". The record is from RNAcentral. Lineage: Eukaryota; Metazoa; Chordata; Mammalia; Rodentia; Sciuridae.
GUGUAGUUCAGUGGUAGAGCACUUGCCUACCAUGAGCAAGGACCUGGGUUCCAUACCCAGAACUACACA